RNAcentral lists this ribosomal RNA (435 nucleotides) under uncultured Sphingobacterium sp. Its description in RNAcentral is "bacterial SSU rRNA". It matches the Rfam family "Bacterial small subunit ribosomal RNA", at positions 358 to 790 of the family's 1533-position model. The record is from RNAcentral. Lineage: Bacteria; Pseudomonadati; Bacteroidota; Sphingobacteriia; Sphingobacteriales; Sphingobacteriaceae.
GGAAUAUUGGUCAAUGGAGGGAACUCUGAACCAGCCAUGCCGCGUGCAGGAUGACUGCCCUAUGGGUUGUAAACUGCUUUUGUCAGGGAAUAAACCUUUCCACGUGUGGGAAGCUGAAUGUACCUGAAGAAUAAGGAUCGGCUAACUCCGUGCCAGCAGCCGCGGUAAUACGGAGGAUCCAAGCGUUAUCCGGAUUUAUUGGGUUUAAAGGGUGCGUAGGCGGUCCUAUAAGUCAGUGGUGAAAGACGGCAGCUUAACUGUCGCAGUGCCUUUGAUACUGUAGGACUUGAAUCUAUUUGAAGUGGGCGGAAUAAGACAAGUAGCGGUGAAAUGCAUAGAUAUGUCUUAGAACUCCGAUUGCGAAGGCAGCUCACUAAGUUAGUAUUGACGCUGAUGCACGAAAGCGUGGGGAUCAAACAGGAUUAGAUACCCUUG